GAGCUGUGAUGAAUGCGGCGCUGAAAUUGAUGGAUGGGGUCCAUCAGCUCAUCUGAAUCUCAAGAUGAUAUUUAGCGCGACUGAGCUC
Molecule: small nucleolar RNA, 88 nt
Organism: Manihot esculenta (cassava)
Lineage: Eukaryota; Viridiplantae; Streptophyta; Magnoliopsida; Malpighiales; Euphorbiaceae
Product: small nucleolar RNA snoR114
Exons: 1
Source: RefSeq, a predicted model, not a curated record